Molecule: ribosomal RNA, 388 nt
Filed under: uncultured bacterium
Lineage: Bacteria
Description: bacterial SSU rRNA
Rfam family: Bacterial small subunit ribosomal RNA
Source: RNAcentral
GACGAACGCUGGCGGCGUGCUUGACACAUGCAAGUCGAGCGGUAAGGCCCUUUCGGGGGUACACGAGCGGCGAACGGGUGAGUAACACGUGGGUGACCUGCCUUUAGCUCUGGGAUAAGCCUGGGAAACCGGGUCUAAUACCGGAUAUGACUCCGCGGCGCAUGUUGUGGGGUGGAAAGCCUUGUGCGGCUGGAGAUGGGCCCGCGGCCUAUCAGCUUGUUGGUGGGGUGAUGGCCUACCAAGGCGACGACGGGUAGCCGGCCUGAGAGGGCGACCGGCCACACUGGGACUGAGACACGGCCCAGACUCCUACGGGAGGCAGCAGUGGGGAAUCUUGGACAAUGGAAGGAAACUCUGAUCCAGCCAUGCCGCGUGAGUGAUGAAGGCC